GACGAACGCUGGCGGCGUGCUUAACACAUGCAAGUCGAACGGAAAGGCCCUGCUUUUGUGGGGUGAUCGAGUGGCGAACGGGUGAGUAACACGUGAGUAACCUGCCCUUGACUUUGGGAUAACUUCAGGAAACUGGGGCUAAUACCGGAUAGGAGCUCCUGCUGCAUGGUGGGGGUUGGAAAGUUUCGGCGGUUGGGGAUGGACUCGCGGCUUAUCAGCUUGUUGGUGGGGUAGUGGCUUACCAAGGCUUUGACGGGUAGCCGGCCUGAGAGGGUGACCGGCCACAUUGGGACUGAGAUACGGCCCAGACUCCUACGGGAGGCAGCAGUGGGGAAUAUUGCACAAUGGGCGGAAGCCUGAUGCAGCAACGCCGCGUUCGGGAUGACGGCCUUCGGGUUGUAAACCGCUUUCGCCUGUGACGAAGCGUGAGUGACGGUAAUGGGUAAAGAAGCACCGGCUAACUACGUG
RNAcentral lists this ribosomal RNA (468 nucleotides) under uncultured bacterium. RNAcentral's name for it is "partial 16S ribosomal RNA". It matches the Rfam family "Bacterial small subunit ribosomal RNA", at positions 28 to 507 of the family's 1533-position model. The record is from RNAcentral.